This 425-nucleotide ribosomal RNA is filed under the name uncultured bacterium. Its description in RNAcentral is "partial 16S ribosomal RNA". It matches the Rfam family "Bacterial small subunit ribosomal RNA", at positions 354 to 796 of the family's 1533-position model. The record is from RNAcentral.
GUGGGGAAUAUUGCGCAAUGGGGGCAACCCUGACGCAGCAACGCCGCGUGAAGGAAGACGGUUUUCGGAUUGUAAACUUCUUUUGUCGGGGACGAUAAUGACGGUACCCGGCGAAUAAGCUCCGGCUAACUACGUGCCAGCAGCCGCGGUAAUACGUAGGUGGCAAGCGUUAUCCGGAAUUACUGGGUGUAAAGGGUGUGUAGGCGGGGCGGCAAGUCAGGAGUGAAAACUAUCGGCUCAACCGGUAGCCUGCUUUUGAAACUGCUGUUCUUGAGAGUCGGAGAGGUAAACGGAAUUCCCGGUGUAGCGGUGAAAUGCAUAGAUAUCAUCCAGAACACCGAUUGCGAAGGCAGGUGGCUGUACCUUAAUCGACGCUGAUGCACGAAAGCAUGGGGAGCAAACAGGAUUAGAUACCCCGGUAGUCC